RNAcentral lists this ribosomal RNA (1414 nucleotides) under Weissella confusa. RNAcentral's name for it is "bacterial SSU rRNA". It matches the Rfam family "Bacterial small subunit ribosomal RNA", at positions 59 to 1429 of the family's 1533-position model. The record is from RNAcentral. Lineage: Bacteria; Bacillati; Bacillota; Bacilli; Lactobacillales; Lactobacillaceae.
CAGUCGACGCUUUGUGGUUCAACUGAUUUGAAGAGCUUGCUCAGAUAUGACGAUGGACAUUGCAAAGAGUGGCGAACGGGUGAGUAACACGUGGGAAACCUACCUCUUAGCAGGGGAUAACAUUUGGAAACAGAUGCUAAUACCGUAUAACAAUGACAACCGCAUGGUUGUUAUUUAAAAGAUGGUUCUGCUAUCACUAAGAGAUGGUCCCGCGGUGCAUUAGCUAGUUGGUAAGGUAAUGGCUUACCAAGGCGAUGAUGCAUAGCCGAGUUGAGAGACUGAUCGGCCACAAUGGGACUGAGACACGGCCCAUACUCCUACGGGAGGCAGCAGUAGGGAAUCUUCCACAAUGGGCGAAAGCCUGAUGGAGCAACGCCGCGUGUGUGAUGAAGGGUUUCGGCUCGUAAAACACUGUUGUAAGAGAAGAAUGACAUUGAGAGUAACUGUUCAAUGUGUGACGGUAUCUUACCAGAAAGGAACGGCUAAAUACGUGCCAGCAGCCGCGGUAAUACGUAUGUUCCAAGCGUUAUCCGGAUUUAUUGGGCGUAAAGCGAGCGCAGACGGUUAUUUAAGUCUGAAGUGAAAGCCCUCAGCUCAACUGAGGAAUUGCUUUGGAAACUGGAUGACUUGAGUGCAGUAGAGGAAAGUGGAACUCCAUGUGUAGCGGUGAAAUGCGUAGAUAUAUGGAAGAACACCAGUGGCGAAGGCGGCUUUCUGGACUGUAACUGACGUUGAGGCUCGAAAGUGUGGGUAGCAAACAGGAUUAGAUACCCUGGUAGUCCACACCGUAAACGAUGAGUGCUAGGUGUUUGAGGGUUUCCGCCCUUAAGUGCCGCAGCUAACGCAUUAAGCACUCCGCCUGGGGAGUACGACCGCAAGGUUGAAACUCAAAGGAAUUGACGGGGACCCGCACAAGCGGUGGAGCAUGUGGUUUAAUUCGAAGCAACGCGAAGAACCUUACCAGGUCUUGACAUCCCUUGACAACUCCAGAGAUGGAGCGUUCCCUUCGGGGACAAGGUGACAGGUGGUGCAUGGUUGUCGUCAGCUCGUGUCGUGAGAUGUUGGGUUAAGUCCCGCAACGAGCGCAACCCUUAUUACUAGUUGCCAGCAUUCAGUUGGGCACUCUAGUGAGACUGCCGGUGACAAACCGGAGGAAGGUGGGGAUGACGUCAAAUCAUCAUGCCCCUUAUGACCUGGGCUACACACGUGCUACAAUGGCGUAUACAACGAGUUGCCAACCCGCGAGGGUGAGCUAAUCUCUUAAAGUACGUCUCAGUUCGGAUUGUAGGCUGCAACUCGCCUACAUGAAGUCGGAAUCGCUAGUAAUCGCGGAUCAGCACGCCGCGGUGAAUACGUUCCCGGGUCUUGUACACACCGCCCGUCACACCAUGAGAGUUUGUAACACCCAAAGCCG